GAUCAUUAACCUUUCAAAACAGGGUGCGUCGCGGCCCCCGAGGUGCGGAAACAAGCCUCGAGCGGUUUGGGGUCCUCCCCUUCACGCGCGCACGACUGCCAUCCUUACUUUACGAGCACCUUCUGUUCUCCCUCGGCGGGGCAACCUGCCGUUGGAACCGAAUAAACUCUUUUUGCAUCUAGCAUUACCUGUUCCGAAACAAACAAUCGUUACAACUUUCAACAAUGGAUCUCUUGGCUCUGGCAUCGAUGAAGAACGCAGCGAAAUGCGAUAAGUAGUGUGAAUUGCAGAAUUCAGUGAAUCAUCGAAUCUUUGAACGCACAUUGCGCCCCUCGGUAUUCCGUGGGGCAUGCCUGUUCGAGCGUCAUCUACACCCUCAAGCUCUGCUUGGUGUUGGGCGUCUGUCCCGCCUCCGCGCGUGGACUCGCCCCAAAUUCAUUGGCAGCGGUCCUUGCCUCCUCUCGCGCAGCACAUUGCGCUUCUUGAGGGGCUCCGGUUCGCGUCCAACAAGCACAUUUACCGUCUUUGACCUCGGAUCAGGUAGGGAUACCCGCUGAACCUAAGCAUAUCAAU
Molecule: unclassified non-coding RNA, 573 nt
Filed under: Pseudopithomyces chartarum
Lineage: Eukaryota; Fungi; Ascomycota; Dothideomycetes; Pleosporales; Didymosphaeriaceae
Description: sequence contains 18S rRNA gene, ITS1, 5.8S rRNA gene, ITS2, 28S rRNA gene
Rfam family: 5.8S ribosomal RNA (bases 214-367)
Source: RNAcentral